RNAcentral lists this transfer RNA (88 nucleotides) under Marispirochaeta aestuarii. It matches the Rfam family "tRNA". From Rfam's summary of the family: Transfer RNA (tRNA) molecules are approximately 80 nucleotides in length. Lineage: Bacteria; Pseudomonadati; Spirochaetota; Spirochaetia; Spirochaetales; Spirochaetaceae. RNAcentral also lists the same sequence under 1 other name. The record is from Rfam by way of RNAcentral.
GGAGAGAUGCGAGAGUGGUUGAAUCGGGCGGCCUCGAAAGCCGUUGUACCGCUAGUCGGUACCGAGGGUUCGAAUCCCUCUCUCUCCG